ACAGCAGUCGCCACGGUAAUACGAAGGGGGCUAGCGUUGCUCGGAAUCACUGGGCGUAAAGGGUGCGUAGGCGGGUCUUUAAGUCAGGGGUGAAAUCCUGGAGCUCAACUCCAGAACUGCCUUUGAUACUGAAGAUCUUGAGUUCGGGAGAGGUGAGUGGAACUGCGAGUGUAGAGGUGAAAUUCGUAGAUAUUCGCAAGAACACCAGUGGCGAAGGCGGCUCACUGGCCCGAUACUGACGCUGAGGCACGAAAGCGUGGGGAGCAAACAGGAUUAGAUACCCCCGUAGUCCCUGUCUCUUAUAC
This 305-nucleotide ribosomal RNA is filed under the name uncultured bacterium. RNAcentral's name for it is "partial 16S ribosomal RNA". It matches the Rfam family "Bacterial small subunit ribosomal RNA", at positions 505 to 807 of the family's 1533-position model. The record is from RNAcentral.